Long non-coding RNA from Osmia bicornis bicornis, 587 nucleotides. RefSeq lists it as uncharacterized. The record is from RefSeq and is a predicted model, not a curated record. The transcript has 4 exons. Lineage: Eukaryota; Metazoa; Arthropoda; Insecta; Hymenoptera; Megachilidae.
CAAGAAAUAGAAAUUGUUAUUCAGUAGUUAAAUAAUUAAGAAGUAAAUCUACGAAUCUAUAGUUUAACUGUUGUCAUUCUAAUGUGAAGAAACUAUUAACUUAGUAAAUACAUGAUUCCAAUGAAUCCUAGAAUUGUUAAUAUCAAGUUCAAUAUGAUGUCUUCUGGCGUUUUAAUGGACGAAUAAUGAGAAGAGCGAACCAUCGCGAUAAUUGCACGAUUCAGGCAUAGCAGAUAGCGGAACAUAAUAUUCCAUACAAGCGGCCCAGUGAAUACCUAUUGAAAUAACUAUGGUUGUUUCUAAAAUUUUAUACACCUGGAAACUUAUUCUGUACACCUGAAAUCACGAGGUCGUUUCAAUAUUGAACUAACAUCGUGAAGUCUACGAAAGUAAACGAUGAUAUUGCGAAUGCGCAAUAUCUUCAUCAUGUUGAACGUGGAGCAGUACCAAAUUGCCUUGGGUAGAAGUACAUCAAAUACUCCUAUAGGUAAUACGGAUCAAGAACUACAACUUUUGUCCCAUAGUCGUAGUAGCCCGUGAAGAACCACGUUAUAAUAUCGCAUACGAAUACUAUGUUCAUUGUGUCA